GACGAACGCUGGCGGCAUGCCUAAUACAUGCAAGUCGAACGAUCACUUCGGUGGUAGUGGCGCACGGGUGCGUAACGCGUGGGAAUCUGCCCUUGGGUUCGGAAUAACGUCGGGAAACUGACGCUAAUACCGGAUGAUGACGUAAGUCCAAAGAUUUAUCGCCCAGGGAUGAGCCCGCGUAGGAUUAGCUAGUUGGUGGGGUAAAGGCCUACCAAGGCGACGAUCCUUAGCUGGUCUGAGAGGAUGAUCAGCCACACUGGGACUGAGACACGGCCCAGACUCCUACGGGAGGCAGCAGUAGGGAAUAUUGGACAAUGGGGGCAACCCUGAUCCAGCAAUGCCGCGUGGGUGAUGAAGGCCUUAGGGUUGUAAAGCUCUUUUACCCGGGAUGAUAAUGACAGUACCGGGAGAAUAAGCCCCGGCUAACUCCGUGCCAGCCGCCGCCGUAA
Molecule: ribosomal RNA, 449 nt
Filed under: uncultured bacterium
Lineage: Bacteria
Description: partial 16S ribosomal RNA
Rfam family: Bacterial small subunit ribosomal RNA
Source: RNAcentral